This 497-nucleotide ribosomal RNA is filed under the name uncultured bacterium. Its description in RNAcentral is "partial 16S ribosomal RNA". It matches the Rfam family "Bacterial small subunit ribosomal RNA", at positions 28 to 507 of the family's 1533-position model. The record is from RNAcentral.
GAUGAACGCUGGCGGCGUGCCUAAUACAUGCAAGUCGAGCGAACGGACGAGAAGCUUGCUUCUCUGAUGUUAGCGGCGGACGGGUGAGUAACACGUGGAUAACCUACCUAUAAGACUGGGAUAACUUCGGGAAACCGGAGCUAAUCCCGGAUAAUAUUUUGAACCGCAUGGUUCAAAAGUGAAAGACGGUCUUGCUGUCACUUAUCGAUGGAUCCGCGCUGCAUUAGCUAGUUGGUAAGGUAACGGCUUACCAAGGCAACGAUGCAUAGCCGACCUGAGAGGGUGAUCGGCCACACUGGAACUGAGACACGGUCCAGACUCCUACGGGAGGCAGCAGUAGGGAAUCUUCCGCAAUGGGCGAAAGCCUGACGGAGCAACGCCGCGUGAGUGAUGAAGGUCUUCGGAUCGUAAAACUCUGUUAUUAGGGAAGAACAUAUGUGUAAGUAACUGUGCACAUCUUGACGGUACCUAAUCAGAAAGCCACGGCUAACUACGUG